UAAAAAUCUCUGGAACCAGAGCAAAUCAUUGUCUAGCAGCUAGGAGGACUUCUUCACCACAAAACUAUGGCUCUCUUCCCUCGGGUUUAAGGAUCCUUCAACUUGAGAAAUCAGCUGCGUUUGCUACUAAGAAGCACCUCCUACAACACAGGAAAAUCCAUUAUUAGUUGGCAUCAAUGCUCCAUUGUUAAAUGGCAGAUAGGUGAGGUAGCCACCUGCUUAGGUAGCAACUUGAGGUGACUGAUUGGAUGACCUUGCAUCAUACAACAAAAUUUAUUUUAUUUUUA
This is a long non-coding RNA of Symphalangus syndactylus (siamang), 287 nucleotides long. RefSeq lists it as uncharacterized. NCBI's taxonomy places the organism in Eukaryota, Metazoa, Chordata, Mammalia, Primates, Hylobatidae. The record is from RefSeq and is a predicted model, not a curated record.